GAUGAAGAACGUAGCGAAAUGCGAUAAGUAAUGCGAAUUGCAGAAUUCAGUGAGUCAUCGAAUCUUUGAACGCACAUUGCGCCCUGUGGUAUUCCGCAGGGCAUGCCUGUUCGAGCGUCAUUUCAACCCUCAAGCCUCGCUUGGUGUUGGGCCCUGCCCGCCGCGGCCGGCCCUAAAGAUAGUGGCGGCGCCGCCUGGCCCUCAGCGUAGUACAGCUCUCGCUCCAGGGUCCGGCGGCAGCCUGCCAGAACCCCCCAACUCUGUGGUUGACCUCGGAUCAGGUAGGGAUACCCGCUGAACUUAAGAAUAUCAAUAAGCGGAGGA
RNAcentral lists this unclassified non-coding RNA (324 nucleotides) under soil metagenome. RNAcentral describes it as "partial contains 5.8S ribosomal RNA, internal transcribed spacer 2, and large subunit ribosomal RNA". The stretch from base 1 to 120 matches the Rfam family "5.8S ribosomal RNA", at positions 35 to 154 of the family's 154-position model. The record is from RNAcentral.